This 77-nucleotide transfer RNA is filed under the name Lentimicrobiaceae bacterium. RNAcentral's name for it is "tRNA-Ile". It matches the Rfam family "tRNA". From Rfam's summary of the family: Transfer RNA (tRNA) molecules are approximately 80 nucleotides in length. The record is from RNAcentral. Lineage: Bacteria; Pseudomonadati; Bacteroidota; Bacteroidia; Bacteroidales; Lentimicrobiaceae. RNAcentral also lists the same sequence under 1 other name.
GGGCCUAUAGCUCAGUUGGUUAGAGCACCUGACUCAUAAUCAGGUGGCCCCAGGUUCAAGUCCUGGUGGGCCCACCA